Molecule: long non-coding RNA, 3453 nt
Filed under: Anas platyrhynchos platyrhynchos (common mallard)
Lineage: Eukaryota; Metazoa; Chordata; Aves; Anseriformes; Anatidae
Description: lncRNA (ENSAPLG00000026345.1)
Source: RNAcentral
CAAGAGCUGUCAGUGUAUGACUUAACUUUAUUCCUGGUGGGAACUCAACCUGCAUAGAUGCUAUUGCAAUAACAGAUUACCAAGAUUUUUUCUUCAUGUUGGAGAGCUAAUUAGAUUCAAGUAUUUUAGGGAAGCUCUGAGUUUACUAAAGAACACAUAUGCAAAUUAACACUGGGAAGAGGGGAAUGAUAACAAUCUGGAGCUGUGUCUUCAACCCUGUGAUUGACAGACUCAACAGGCACAUCUGGUAAGUAACUUGAUGGCAGAGUCUGCAUACGCACACUGCAAAAAUUGUAACUGUGGUCUGUAGAGGAUAAGGGCUCUUUAGAUCUGACAUUAUAUUUACCAGGCUCACGCUUUUCUAGCAGGAGAGGCCCUUCACCUUCUACUGUAAACAUAAAGAAAUCAGAGGCUCUCAUGCAGUGCUGUUGGCAGAUCACCAUGAACUUGUUUCAGCCAGAGCACACUUCGGCGUCAUGGUCAGUGAAAGUCUGUGAGCUUCAAAGGUUGUUAUUUACAAAUGAUACUUUCCACUGUGCACAGAGCAGUAGCAGGUAUGUAUCCCACUCUCAUGAGUUUCACCUCAACGUGACCUCAGAGAACUCCAAAGAGCUGCUUUGUGUUUACAUGGGUAUAUGAGAGACCCAGGGAAAUAGCCAUGUAUCACCAUUUCUUUCUGUUUUUUUAAAUUCUCUGUGCUUUACAGAAAUUACAUCACUAAUAAUUAGAAGACCUUGUUAAAAUAAUUGUUUUAAAAAUCGUAUACUAACUGGUUGUCCAAAGAAUAUUUUAAUUAGCUUAGAUGAAAGAUGAGAUCUACUUCACAGGUCCUCUGUACUUGCUGUGAGUCGUUGCUCUGUCCAGGGUCUCUGUUUGUAAUGACCUGUUCUACCAGAUGUGCUUUACCUCCUAGUAAUAUAGAUCUUCAUUUGUGGAACAGGGAAAAGAAAAAAUAUUUGAAAGUUUUUUGGAAGUACUAAGUUAGUGAAGGAUUUGAGAAAUUAAACAUUUCCCUAGCCUGCUGUUUUCAGAAUCAGCAUUUUCUAAGCCCUGACAGCAUAAUGGGAUCAUUCCCAUUGCCCUGAUCACUCUCAUUAAGUUCAUUUGCUGCAGUCUUAGAGAAACAAAAUGACUUUGUAAUGAUGGUGCUGGAGGAGGGGGAAAGAGCUGUUCUCAAGACUGUCACAGGAUUCUUGUGUGAUCUUGGUUGAGUCACUUGAUCCUGAGUUAGUUUACCUGUAACAGAAGCCUUUAACUUUUCUCAUCUAGGAAAGCUCUGCAGAAAAGUAAUUGCUUAUUACAUGCCUGAAGUAACAGGGCAACUCUUGACUUGGACUUCUGUGUGUGACACAAAUAAUAUUUUAUGCAGGGAGGCAGGAAACUUGAAUUCUUUCCAUAUCCUUAUGAAAGGUUAUUUAAUGUCUCAGCUCCUCAGUUCAAUGCACUUCUGAAUUAAGCAGUGUUAACCUCACUUAUGGAAGGUACUUGCUGUUAGAAGAUCAGAAGUAGGCAGCAAUCUGUAGCAUCAAGAGCUAGCGAAAGAGAGAGACUUAAUUUGGAACCAAGCUGCUCUGAUUCCAUUUCAUUUAAUCUGUCCUGCCCAAACAUCCUCCAAGCUCUGCUUUGCAGCAAUGUCCUUGUUGAUUAGUGACAGGAAUUUAGUAGAAAGUGGCCGUCAUGCCAGAAAGACUCGGGGGCACUGAAUCUGGAAUGAGCCACACUUAUUUAAAUCUAGCUAAUGUAGUAACAUCUUGAAGCAGCCUAGGGCAGAAAAGUUUCCUCUAAACAGAGGUUUCUAGCCCACAAUUCCUUGAAUAUUUUUUUGUGAGUAAAUGAUCCUGUGGCAUGUGCUCUAAUUAAAAUCAUAUCAGGGCUGUUCUAUAUUACCCAGCACAAUCUCUGGAGUUUGCUUCUUCACCUUCCUCCGCCUCGCUUGCCGAGCCCUCCUUGUUUACAUUCCAGCCGCACAGACUAUCAAUGCAGCGAACCCAUCUAAAAUGAACCACAUGAAUGACAUGAGGAAUGCCUGAAAGAAUGAAGUUGUUGUACUGCAAACUGUGUGAUAUAUUAUAGCACAAAGAUGGUCUGGCAAAGGAAGUCAUUUGUACAGCAGUCCUUUAGGUACCAUGAAGGAUGGAAACAGAGGAUAUUAAAUGAUGACUUCUGAAAUUCUAAUCACAAGCCAUGCUUUCCUUUUGAGUGAUGCCAUAGUCAUGACAAGAGGGCUAGUUAUAAAGCUGUAGGGUUGACACAGGAUCUCUAUAUUUACAUCCUUUUGUCUCAACCAGCAAUGAGAGAACUCUAAAUCUUGUAGAGUUAUCUAGUUAGAGAAGAUAAAGAUAACACAAAUCAGUAAUUUCACUGGAGAUCUAAUUAUUUUCAUGGUGAAAUAUAGAAAGCUUUGCUUCUCUAAUGGGGGGCAGGGUGAACAACUUGGAGACCAUCUACUUGCUUAUAGUACCAACCCUCCUUUCAGCACUUUCCAGAAAUUCCCAUUAUGUUUUUGAUUAUGCCCCAGUACAGUAAAGCUAUACUGUGCCUUUAUCUUUCUCUCUCCUUGUUCUCUUUUUGUAUGGAGAAAUUGUUCUGUCCCUCCCAUGAGGGAGAAAAGAAAAAGAAAAAGGAAAAAAAAAAGGCUAUGUAAGCACAAAUAGUCUUCUACUACUACUUUUUACUGUCUUCAUCUUGUAGCUUUGCUGAUAUAAAAAUAUAAUUAGAAAUGUAGUUACUCUCCAGAACUACUGAAAAGCAGAAAAGGAGUUUCAGGGCUCACAUUCAUUUGGGUUAAUGACAAAGAUAAAACAAGGAAGACAUAAAUUGUGCUUUGAUCAAGCACUUAUGGAGGCUCAGUUGCAGAUGCUUGGAAUCCUGAAAAUUUUAGAGCAGUAGAAACUUUAGUAAUUGCAGCAUGGCAAUGGAGUGCUUGUUUUGUGACUAUCUAUGACCAUCACAGUAUCCUUUGAAGACUGCAGUCAAUAAUGGCUUCUUCAGUGCCAAUAGGUUGUUUUGUGCCAGGAAAUGCAGGUUGCCAGAAGCAAGUGGUUAAUUGCUAUUACAUACAUAAUAUUCAAAGUGAAUCUUGUGAUCCGCCCUAUACCAGUGACAACAUGCAUAAAAGUGAAAAAUCAUCUCUAGAUGUCAUAAAAAUACAGAGAUGGGUGAGGGAAUAGCAAUAUCAGGACAUUUGGAGAACAUGUCUAUUGUAGCAACACAAUGAAGUUAAACUUGAGAAAACAUAUGAGUAUGAAUUGUCAAAGAGAGGCUGGGAGCAUGUUAAGAAGCAGUCCUGUUUGAUGGAAGGAUUUACUACUUGUAGCUGUGGUUGAAAAUUUUGCUUUCAUGUUUUUGCUUCUUGCUAAUAGCCAUGUUUUCUCCAAGAUGACUGAGUUUGCUCUCAAAGUUAGAUGCUGCAGGAAAAAUAAAAGCAUUUAACAACACUUCUAGAAGAUUUAU